UCCGAUGUGGUGUAACGGCUAACAUUGCCGCCUUUCAUCGUGGGCGAAGCUGCGAAGCGGGUGUUCCUCACUCGCAGCUUCGCGUGGGAGUCUAAUACGCGGCAGCUCGGGGUUCGAUUCCCCGCUUCGGAA
Stereum hirsutum FP-91666 SS1 is the source of this 132-nucleotide non-coding RNA. Lineage: Eukaryota; Fungi; Basidiomycota; Agaricomycetes; Russulales; Stereaceae. The record is from the annotation of a RefSeq genome assembly.